This 535-nucleotide ribosomal RNA is filed under the name uncultured bacterium. Its description in RNAcentral is "partial 16S ribosomal RNA". It matches the Rfam family "Bacterial small subunit ribosomal RNA", at positions 355 to 874 of the family's 1533-position model. The record is from RNAcentral.
UGGGGAAUAUUGCACAAUGGGCGCAAGCCUGAUGCAGCCAUGCCGCGUGUGUGAAGAAGGCCUUCGGGUUGUAAAGCACUUUCAGCGAGGAGGAAGGUGGUGAGCUUAAUACGCUCAUCAAUUGACGUUACUCGCAGAAGAAGCACCGGCUAACUCCGUGCCAGCAGCCGCGGUAAUACGGAGGGUGCAAGCGUUAAUCGGAAUUACUGGGCGUAAAGCGCACGCAGGCGGUUUGUUAAGUCGGAUGUGAAAAUCCCCCGGGCUCAACCUGGGAACUGCAUUUGAAACUGGCAAGCUAGAGUCUCGUAGAGGGGGGCUAGAAUUCCAGGUGUAGCGGUGAAAUGCGUAGAGAUCUGGAGGAAUACCGGUGGCGAAGGCGGCCCCCCUGGACGAAGACUGACGCUCAGGUGCGAAAAGCGUGGGGCAGCAAACAGGAUUAGAUACCCUGGUAGUCCAGCGCUGUAAAACGAUGUCGAUUUGGAGGUUGUGCCCUUGAGGCGUGGCUUCCGGAGCUAACGCGUUAAAUCGACCGCCU